CCGCAUAAAAUUCAAGGAAUUGGUGCUGGUUUCAUCUCAGCCGUCCUCGAUCAAAGCAUCCUGGAUGGAGUUCUUCAAGUAAGGCUGUAUACCAUAUAAGUAGCUCUGAGAUUCUACAAACAUUUAAAUUUCUGCUCAAUGUGAGUGAGAUUUUGCUAUAAAAACCUGAAUAUCUUACAAAUGACUCUAACCAGGUGAUGAAUCUGCUAUACUCUGACUGACAAUUUCAAUUCGGUUAAUAUAAAACUAACGCAUUCACGACUCACAGAAGCAGAGAUAUGAAGUAUGCGAACAUAGACUAGAUUGCUUUGUAGGGUAAAGUUAGAUAUAUCCUUUUGUUGACAGAAUUGUCUGAAUCUCCAGAAUAAUCGUGGCUUUUCAAUGUAAAAGUUUCCAGCUUACUCUAUCUCUGAAACAUAUCCAUCUGAUUUAGUUUAUUAACAGAUCAAAGUAAAUUCAUUAUAGGUUUUCUUAUUUUCCAUGUUUGGUUGGUCAAAAUUUUUGGUAAACAUUUUGUUUAGGAAAACAAGUUGCUUAAAAAUAAGGAGAACGACUUUCCUAAUGGAAUUAGGGAAAACAAGUUUCACAAGUGGUAUUCUAUAUUGAGUGUGUCCUGUCCUCCCCACGCUCCAACACACCUCAUCUUCACCCCAACCUCCAUAGCCCCCAGCCUCACCACCCCACACUAUUACCUGUCUCACUGCCCAUAGUAUUUGACUUAGAUUAUAUACAAAUGGUUUUAGGAUAGUAUACAUACCGAGCACAAGAAAAUUAGUAAGAAACCACUUAUUUUCCUUCCUUUAUACCGAACACACCCUUAGUGUCCUCUUGUAUGUUUCUAAAGCUGUUGAUUUUUUGGUUCACUGGCUAUAUUUCCUGGUAUGAUGGCAGCUUCUGCUUUUAUUUAUGUUCAGGUAUCUAGUGAUGAAGCUAUUGAAAUGACAAAGCUUCUUGCAUUGAAAGAAGGCCUGCUGGUAAGUUCACCCGUCAAUAAAGAUCACUUCUGCAUGUGUCCUCUGCUUCAUUUGUGAUGUCCGUUCUGAUAUCAUUACGAUUAUAUGCCCUUUUUCUCCUGGAAUAUUUUCAGGUAGGAAUAUCAUCAGGUGCUGCAGCUGCUGCAGCAAUUCAAGUAGCAAAAAAGCCAGAAAAUGCUGGGAAACUUAUUGCGGUAAGUUAGAUCUACUUCAUUAAGCUUAUUGAUAUCUAUUUCAUCUCUUAACUUGGGAAUCCUUGAUGAGUUCAUGGUUCCAAUUUUGCAAAUGAACUUUGGCCUAAACUUCUCUUUCAAUUCUCUGUGCAGGUCAUCUUCCCUAGUUUUGGGGAGCGUUAUCUUUCCACUGUGCUGUUUGAUUCUAUUAGAGAAGAGGUGGUGAACAUGACUUUUGAGUAACUUAAUGCUUCUUUAAACUGAGGGAUACAUGUUUACUCCUAUUUGUUGUAACUUGAGAUGGGAAAGAUCACUCAAGUGUAACCCCCUAAUAAAUCAGUGAACUAUUAUUAAUUCGCAAUACAAAUAUUUGUAUCUUUUGAAUGGUGUAACCGCUGUUUCUAUAUAUUUAGCCCUUCGUUCAGCCAACAAACAAGUAGGAUUUUUCAAUGGCAUAGUUAAUUGAGAAAGGCUUAAUUCCAUCAUGUAGCGUCGUCAAACAAACGUAUUAUUCUUUCUAUCGUUUGCAUAUAUAAUUGGGCUCUUAAGCAGUUUAAGGUAUGUAAUGUCAACGAUUUUGAAAUUGUUCUAAAAAAAACUCACUUUUUUGUCAACUGGACUAUAGCCUAACCAUAAUCCUUAUAUUUCAGAAUGGUCCACAUAUAAUUAUUACAAUGUCUAUAUAUUUAUAGUGUUUGGUCUAAAACUAAGGAAGUACUUGACUUUAGAACUAAAGAUCAAAUAGUGCUUCUUUAAAAACUCUUUAAAAAUGAAAUUAGUUGAUUAAAAAGAAUACUUAAAAUACAUUACGUUUUAAAAAAAAAAAAAUACAUUACGUAUUAAUUUUUACGAAAUUAAAAUAAAUAAAUAUAUAUAGGUUCGGAUUCAACAUGUGUACAUAGAAGGUAAUACUUUGGCUGAUUAUUUAGCUAAUUUGGCUUUUGAUAAUCUAGGUAGACUUGUUUAUAAUUCUUUUAUAGAAUUACCAAGACAGGCUAGGAAAAUCGUAAACCUAGACAAGCAACAUUUUCCUACGUUAAGAAUCAGAACAAAGAAAAUAGAUCAAAAGAGGGAUGGGGGACAAGAAAAUGCAGUGACAUUGAUCACAUGAGAACUACCAGAAUUAUAAGCAACAUAUCAAACAUCGAGAAUAGUACAAUCCAAGAUACUCAAAUGAGUCACACGUGUCGAUUUUCAAAGAAGUUGAUCUCAACUAACAAUUUCAUCAACAAUAUUAUAGAACUUUACAGAUCUAGUGGCAGAGCUUUACAAUGCAAAAAAGGGAUACAAUUUUUAUUAGUACAAGAAGAGAUGAUCAUAAGUCGAUUUAGAACUUACAAAGGAAGGUUCUGCAGCAAAACGUUACGGAAAAAUAUUUUUGAAUGGCUGAGUUCAUGGCAACAACCUUUGCACUUCAAGGAAGACGGACAGUUAGAGGAGGAAGAUAGGAAGAGCAAUCAAGGUUUAGAGGGAAUAAAAACUCACCAUUCUUUGGUCUGGUCUCGGAUGGAAUUUGAUGGAGACUUCCCAAAUUUGCAGAAAAAGAGGGCUAUUUAGAGCUUUCCUAGUAGACUUGCCC
This 2726-nucleotide long non-coding RNA is filed under the name Solanum tuberosum (potato). Its description in RNAcentral is "long non-coding RNA (STUB_LNC002246)". The record is from RNAcentral. Lineage: Eukaryota; Viridiplantae; Streptophyta; Magnoliopsida; Solanales; Solanaceae.